Molecule: ribosomal RNA, 807 nt
Filed under: Streptomyces sp.
Lineage: Bacteria; Bacillati; Actinomycetota; Actinomycetes; Kitasatosporales; Streptomycetaceae
Description: bacterial SSU rRNA
Rfam family: Bacterial small subunit ribosomal RNA
Source: RNAcentral
CGAACGAUGAACCACUUCGGUGGGGAUUAGUGGCGAACGGGUGAGUAACACGUGGGCAAUCUGCCCUGCACUCUGGGACAAGCCCUGGAAACGGGGUCUAAUACCGGAUACUGACCACUACAGGCAUCUGUGGUGGUGGAAAGCUCCGGCGGUGCAGGAUGAGCCCGCGGCCUAUCAGCUUGUUGGUGAGGUAACGGCUCACCAAGGCGACGACGGGUAGCCGGCCUGAGAGGGCGACCGGCCACACUGGGACUGAGACACGGCCCAGACUCCUACGGGAGGCAGCAGUGGGGAAUAUUGCACAAUGGGCGCAAGCCUGAUGCAGCGACGCCGCGUGAGGGAUGACGGCCUUCGGGUUGUAAACCUCUUUCAGCAGGGAAGAAGCGAAAGUGACGGUACCUGCAGAAGAAGCGCCGGCUAACUACGUGCCAGCAGCCGCGGUAAUACGUAGGGCGCGAGCGUUGUCCGGAAUUAUUGGGCGUAAAGAGCUCGUAGGCGGCUUGUCGCGUCGGUUGUGAAAGCCCGGGGCUUAACCCCGGGUCUGCAGUCGAUACGGGCAGGCUAGAGUUCGGUAGGGGAGAUCGGAAUUCCUGGUGUAGCGGUGAAAUGCGCAGAUAUCAGGAGGAACACCGGUGGCGAAGGCGGAUCUCUGGGCCGAUACUGACGCUGAGGAGCGAAAGCGUGGGGAGCGAACAGGAUUAGAUACCCUGGUAGUCCACGCCGUAAACGGUGGGCACUAGGUGUGGGCAACAUUCCACGUUGUCCGUGCCGCAGCUAACGCAUUAAGUGCCCCGCCUGGGGAGUACG